AUUUGAUACUUACUUGAGCUUCUUUCGUAAUUGUCGGUACAUCUUCUUCUUCACUUUCUUCGCUGGAUUCCUCGUUUAACGCCGAUAUUUUGAUCAUCUUGAACAACUCCUUCGUAAUCUGUAGUUCUAUUUAAAAUAUCAACAAUUCAACCGGUUUUUUUCAACGUCGCCAUAUUACUGACUCCUGAGUGAGUCUAGUGUUGUGUACUGAGUUGAGUUGAGUUUGAGUGAGUUUCUGCCCCUGUGCCUGCAUUGAUAUCAAGCCCAAAAUAGUAUGAAUCAUGACAUCAGGCAUAAUACACACAUGCGCAUGAUCGGUAUCGGUAAGUCAGAAAUUUAAAAAUAGGUAGAGAAACUGCUUUUCUCUGAUUGGAUGACGCUUCAUAUCUAACCAGUGCUGCCCUCACAAUUUUAGGCAAAGGGAGGAAGUGGCGAGUGAGCAAGAAAGCACGAUAUCAACAUAACCACACACGUCUGGCAAUCCAUCUGUAACACUCGGCACGAUAUUCGACUUGCACUUGCUACAGAAGUAAUACAAUACUACUCUGUCUAUCAAGAUGACUCAAAUCCUCCGGAUAGUUCUGAUCUAUCACGGGUCUGACGAUCCAUCUGUAUUUAUCGGACACAAGAUGCAACGCGUUGAUACAUGCCAACAAACAUUGCGCUUGUCUCGACACUAUGGUGACAGAUUGUGACUCCUGACUCAAACGCAUGGCCUGUUCGUACAUAACGGAGGCAGCUAAAACAAGUCCACGCUCCUGGCUCUGCCCUCCACUAUUCUCUCAAGAUCUUCGUACAUAUCCACAUAGGGAAACGAGAUCAAGUCUAUGAGCUUUCGUCUCUCGAACAGGGUGACUACCAACUGUCUCAAACAGUCGACUUUACGAGCAGCGUCCGGAUUCGAAUUUAAACAGUUGUACGCUUUGGUGUGAUGACCCAAGUUCAAAUGUUGCGUAAAUACUAUGGAAUGAAGCGUUGGUUUCGAGUAAGGUGUCGGCUAAGAAUUCAUCGGUUAAAAUCCCUCCGGAUGCUCGAAGGAAGUGAUCGCAAGCUUUCUGCGCUUCUCCCAUUUCCAACAACGCAACCGCUAAUAUGAACUUCCUGGAUGCGCUGUUCCAUUCGCACCAUGUGUUCAAUAGUCGAACAUAUUCUUGUACAAGCAAAAAUUGGCAAGUGGUCAAGAGCCAUUCGGGAAAAAUGAAGUUUCCCGAUCUCGGCCAUCUGUUUCAAAUACAAUGUUUAUUAUUAAGGAAACGAACGAGAUUGUUUCGGUGAGACUGUGUAUAUAUAUAUCAAAAUAUAUACUAAUAUUGUAAAAAAGGAUACACCAAUUGUGCGAUUAACGUAACAUGUGUCAACAUGCCAUAAUGCCAUGGUAUUAAGGUGGUUGCAUCCAAAUUUGUGUGAGCUAUUAAAUUGUGAGCACAUUUUGCACCACUAUUUUGUAUAAAUAAUUCCAGCAACGAUAAAGAACGGUGUUGUUUGAAUCCUACGUUUCCCCUGGCAUCCGCGAGUUUUAAUAACCCUAGACGUUGAAUACUGGAAUCUCUGAAAGUAUUUGUGUUAUAUUUUCAUAUAAAUCUAAAUGAAGACACGAAAAACUAUUGACCUAUUUCACUUACAACAAUGAUUGCGUUGGUGCUGGCAUCGCCGUUGAAUCGCAAAUCCAUAGUACAACGUAGUAAGCUUGCGUUAAAGCUACUGUUCUCGGCACUAACGAUGAUUUGAUAGAGUGUAAUGAUCGCGAGUCGAAUAACUCUGGCCGUAAUAGUAUCAUUUGUUGCAAAAUCAGCAGAUUCCUGCAGAUCGAGAAUCUCAGUUGCGUUAUUUGAGUUACGCUUUUCGAUAUUGCCGAGAUUCCUAGUUGACUGCCGAAAAAAUGAUUUAUAUUCAGCAAUAUUUUGGACGCGUCGUGGCCUUCGUUGAAUUGUAGCUUAUGCGGCUGCCCGAGGUCAUAUGUUAAUGCUUCUAGUAACAUGGCUAUGGCACUGGACAGAUCCCGGACAUUCGAUAGUCUGUGACAACUAGGAUGAUCCAUAAUGAUGUUACUAAUAGGUUCUUCCGAUUCAAGCAACAGCUUCGACAAUAUAUCAUCGAUAAUAGUGUCAGGACUUUUCAAAUGAUACAAUUCCUUCUUUAUCAGGUUUUUUGUUUCUUCCGACAUUUGAUCUUCUAAUAAUACCAACACAGACAUCAAUAUAAUUAGAUCCUGGCAUAUAUCUUCGUUCUGUGAUAAAACAGGUGUUGUUCUGAAUCGAGACACGCAGCAAUUUUCAUUGCAGAACAUUAAAUAUUCCAAAGCUUCCGUCGGUCUUAAAAGCGAGAACGAUGAUUUUUUAAGUAAAAUUAUCCCGUAAACAUCGGGUAAUAAUAAUAGUCCCACAGGUCUGGCACUAUUGGCGUGAUAUUGUACGACACAAGAAUAAAAUCUUGACCAACAACGAUUUGCUAUUUCCAAAUAAUCUUGAUCCAUAAGUUCAAAAUCCAUCACCUCGGCUUUGAUUUCAUCUUCUACCGCGAUACAGACACGAUCUUUCAACUCGAUAGCAGAAAGAACGCUGUCGUCUGUACAUCUUCCGUAAACCUGUUUUUUAGAUCUUCUUCGAGCAUGAAUAUUCUGUUUUGAUCUUCUGUAAAUAUCCCAUGCCUUCGUGAUGUCAGACAAAGAAAACUGUCCAGGUUGAAAAAUAUAAUUAAUGUACGCCCGUCUUGGAUUAGUGUCAGGAUCGCUAACAACAUAUUCUCUAUCAGGAGUUUGUUCUAAAACUGUUGUUUCCCACUCAGAAUUAACGCGUGCACCAUUCAACGACAACUGUGCAUGCGUUACUUCGACGGUAUCCAUGUCGGUAGUUCUCCAAACUGCCCAUAAUCGUGUAGUUGUGAAUGAAAAAUCGACUAAAUGUUGCUGUGGACAUACGAAAGUGAGUUAUAAUAUGUUUUCAUAGAGUCAUCAUGUAUACUCACAUCUUGCGCGAAUCUUGUACAUAGCCUUGAAAACUUGAACACGCCAUUUUCCAAAACAGGUUUUAAAAUACUAAACUCGCAUCUAGUAGUAAACUUUAAAAAAGUU
Megalopta genalis is the source of this 3070-nucleotide non-coding RNA. The record is from RefSeq and is a predicted model, not a curated record. Lineage: Eukaryota; Metazoa; Arthropoda; Insecta; Hymenoptera; Halictidae.